UAGCUCAGGUGGUUAGAGCGCGUCACUGAUAAUGACGAGGUCGCAGGUUCAAAUCCUG
Molecule: transfer RNA, 58 nt
Filed under: Corynebacterium variabile
Lineage: Bacteria; Bacillati; Actinomycetota; Actinomycetes; Mycobacteriales; Corynebacteriaceae
Description: tRNA-Ile
Rfam family: tRNA
About the family: Transfer RNA (tRNA) molecules are approximately 80 nucleotides in length. Their secondary structure includes four short double-helical elements and three loops (D, anti-codon, and T loops).
Source: RNAcentral